UAGCAGCUGACCUUGACAGGUGAAGGGAUGAUGGCAGAGUGGCUGAGGCCCCAACAGAUAUGGAGGCAGCAAAUUCAUAACAGCACCCAGUGUGGAUGGCUGGCUUGGUUCUCUGUAGGCUCUUUGGGUGCAGGAAUGGGGAAAUGUGACAAAUGGCCACCCCUAGCCCUGAAGAAUCCCUGGUAGAAUGAUCAGAGUGGCUGGACAGAAUGUCAGGUCCCACCUAUCCAUCAUGCAAUACCCAGUGUCACUGUUGAGUACCACCCCCAGGAUGACUGGGGCUUUUCAGGGGCUCAGAUUAUUUGGAGAUCCUAUGUGUGCUAUCAAAAGGAAUGGGCCUGCAUCCUUGCUGUCCAGGAGCCAGCCAUCUCUGUGAUUGUAGAUGCUGGAGUAUAUAUAGUAGACAGGUUUCCCUACCUUUUGAAUACCUGGCCUGGCUUUACUACCUGAGUUCAGUUCCAGUGGACCAGUGGUAUUCCCUGGCUUCAGGAGGAACCCAGAUGUGGGGCAGGGUGUGGUGUUAAUAUUAUCCAGAUAGAAUGUUGUAACUCUCCCUGGAAAACACAGAUUCACAGGGAGAUUGUCCCCCGUUGGCUAUAGAAACACAUAAGGCCACAUCAUGGAAUCUUUGUAACCUUUUGAAGAAGUUUGGGCUUGGUCCUGGGUGCAUUAUGGGGGCACAAGAGUGUCCUCACACCUAUGUUCUGCAGUUCUUUGGUCAUUAAUGACUCAUUUGGUUCAUGUUGACUCAUUCAUUCAUUGCCAAACUGAAGCCCCUCAGCCAGGCUUGCCUGUGAGUCUUUUUUUCAUGUGUCAGAUACAGGGUAUACCCACUGCUGGCCCAGAGGAGAAGAGGUUCUCAGUUUCUGGAACAGGAACUCAGGGGGGUCUUUGCUCUUCGAUGGUAAAGUGGGCAGACUGUUGAAUGAGACCAGCCAUAGUUACAUAUUGUAGGGCCUUUUGGAAAGGAGCCUGAGAUCCCAACAAUCAUUUCUAGCAUAGCUUCUGUAGGACCUCAUGUUCCUGUAUUUCGUGUGAACUAUUUGAUGGCAGGUUUAGGGAUUCCACCUGUUCAAAGUGGGGGUAGGUGGAGGCAGGAGAUUCCUGAAUGUUCUGGAGCAGAAGUGGGGCGUGAGAGGGUUUGCAGUCCAUAAAUUGUGAGAACUCUGGGUUGGGAGCCCAGCAGCAUGCACCAGGCAGGCCCUCCCCUGGCUGAGCCCCCUUAUUGGUGUGAGAUUGUUUGGUAAACCAGAAACCGCACCCCUGCUGCUGCAAAGCCACUUUCUAAGCCUGCUCUGAUCUCACUGGAAAACGACACUUUACAUUUUAUUGUCUGUUAUAUACUUACGCUCCGUCUCUCCCAUUAGACUGAAGUUCUUUGAGGACAGGAUCCUCAUGUAAUUCCCCAGGGGCUGGUUUCAAGUACACACUCAGGGAUUCUGUGUGCAGUUGUAAAAUUAUUGGUCAUAUCUAUCUAAUCAUUGUCUGAGUAUCAGGUAGAAAAUAGAAAGUCCCAAACUUUCCUCCCCAUUGUACCCCCAUUUCCAGGUGUUUGGUUCCCAGAGGCCAAACAUCUCAGCAGGCUCCUGAUGUGUCCCACUGUAGCACUGAGUAUUGCGGCUUUGGGUGGCUUUGACCGAUGAGCACCCUCUCACUCUGGUGUGUUCUGACCAUCUCCUGGGAGAGCCAUGGUCCUGAUAUCUCACUGAUUGUUUAACCCCUGAGUGCCCCUCGGGCUUUGAAUGGACCACCCCAUGUUGGGAGAUGCUUCUCAUUGGUUGGAUGGGUCUUCCCAGCCCUUCCCCAGAACCUCCUUCCUCACACUUCUGUAUUUUUUCCAGGACAUGGAUCAGAGCUUCUGUUUGCUGGUCAUUCCGUGAUCCUCACACAAUAUAAAUGAAAGCUGCUAAAACCAAUAAAUUCAAACCAUGUGUGGGGCACUGGGAGGAGCCAGGACGUCAGAGGGCCGCAGUGUGAGGUGGCGUCAGCUCUGACGGCACCCGAGCUGAUUUGUAUAUGAGAAAAGUAAAUAUCCAAAGCCAUAAACAGCCCUGGGUCUCCCUCCUUGCUGUGAUUCAAAGGCAUUUAAUAGGAACACACACUCUCUGUUUCUUGUAAACAGAGGGAGAUUUUUCUGUGUGUGCUGACCUAAAUUCUACAUUUUCAUCUCUGGGGAAGACAGCCAGCCAUCCUGGUCAGAGACUCUAGACAGUCUGGGCAGUCGGGUUGGGUUCCUUGCUUCUGGUUUUGGCAGUUGGCCUAGCACUUUUGCUUUGCAUAGGGCUACCUUGCUGUCUCUCCUUGGCCUCAGAGCAAUCCUGGGUGGUUCUCUUAGUCAGUUUGUACUGCUGUAAUAAAAUAUCAUAGACUGAGUAGCUUAUUUACAAACAACAGAAAUUUAUUUCACACAAUUCCUGAGGCUAGGGUGUCCAAGCUCAAAGUGCCAGU
This 2448-nucleotide long non-coding RNA is filed under the name Marmota monax (woodchuck). Lineage: Eukaryota; Metazoa; Chordata; Mammalia; Rodentia; Sciuridae. The record is from RNAcentral.